This 477-nucleotide ribosomal RNA is filed under the name Culex quinquefasciatus (southern house mosquito). Its description in RNAcentral is "partial large subunit ribosomal RNA". It matches the Rfam family "Eukaryotic large subunit ribosomal RNA", at positions 300 to 637 of the family's 3401-position model. The record is from RNAcentral. Lineage: Eukaryota; Metazoa; Arthropoda; Insecta; Diptera; Culicidae.
UAAACUCCUUCUAAAGCUAAAUAUCACCACGAGACCGAUAGCGAACAAGUACCGUGAGGGAAAGUUGAAAAGCACUCUGAAUAGAGAGUCAAAAAGUACGUGAAACUGCCUAGGGCUCAAGCCCGUUGAACUCGAUUAUCCGCGGCGGAGAUAUUCACCUGCGGUUGGCCCUCACCCGGUCCGCCGCAGGGCACUUACCUCCUGCCUCACGAGGACGUUGCGAUCCAUUACGAAACGGUUAGCCAGCGAUGGCUACAGGCCCGGCACCUGCCCCUUGGCAUCUGGUUGCUUGUCCCACAGUAGCGGCGCUCAGUUCGGAAGGCCUGCGCCGCAACCUGGGGCUUACCGGUGCGUGGUGUGCAGCCGGGCGCGUGAUGGAUUCCCGCGUACACCGUCUCGGGAGAGGCUCGCCUCUCCCACCUCCACCAAGGUGACGGACUGUCGAUCGGCAACGAUAAAAUCGAGGUACCUUCGGGA